AAGUCGUAACAAGGUUUCCGUAGGUGAACCUGCGGAAGGAUCAUUACAGAAUAAACCUGAUGAGUUGUUGCUGGCCCACUCCUGUGAGCAAGUGCACGCUUGUCAUUUUUAUAUUUCCACCAUGUGCACCUUGCAUAAGUCUGAAGGUCUUGAUAUUCGAUCAGAGCAUGCUUUGAUUGUUUGGAAUCUGUCAUUAACCCUAAUGGCUUUUUCUGACUUCAGUGCUUAUGAUUUAUUUAAAUACACCAACGUAUGUUUAAAGAACGCUUUAUUAGGCUAUGUCAGCCUAUAAAUUUAUAAUACAACUUUCAGCAACGGAUCUCUUGGUUCUG
This 332-nucleotide unclassified non-coding RNA is filed under the name Conocybe sp. RNAcentral's name for it is "partial internal transcribed spacer region". The stretch from base 1 to 46 matches the Rfam family "Eukaryotic small subunit ribosomal RNA", at positions 1786 to 1831 of the family's 1831-position model. Lineage: Eukaryota; Fungi; Basidiomycota; Agaricomycetes; Agaricales; Bolbitiaceae. The record is from RNAcentral.